Molecule: signal recognition particle RNA, 290 nt
Filed under: Terrapene triunguis (Three-toed box turtle)
Lineage: Eukaryota; Metazoa; Chordata; Testudines; Emydidae
Description: Terrapene carolina triunguis (Three-toed box turtle) Metazoan signal recognition particle RNA (ENSTMTG00000010914.1)
Rfam family: Metazoan signal recognition particle RNA
About the family: The signal recognition particle (SRP) is a universally conserved ribonucleoprotein. It is involved in the co-translational targeting of proteins to membranes.
Source: Rfam by way of RNAcentral
GCCGGGCGCCGUGGCUUGUGCCUGUGAUCCCAGCUGCUGGGGAGGCUGAGGCUGGCGGAUUGCUUGAGCUCAGGAGUUCUGGGCUGUAGUGAGCUAUGCCGAUCGGGUGUCCGCACUAAGUUUGGCAUCAAUAUGGUGAUCUUGGGGUCACCAGGUUGCCUAAGGAGGGAUGAACCGGCCCAGGUCAGAAAUGGAGCAGGUCAAAACUCCCGUGCCGAUCAGUAGUGGGAUCAUGCCUGUAAAUAGCCCCUGCAGCGUAGCCUGGGCAAGACAGUGAGACACGGUCUCUU